GUACACUCCUACGGGAGGCAGCAGUGGGGAAUUUUGGACAAUGGGCGAAAGCCUGAUCCAGCCAUGCCGCGUGCAGGAUGAAGGCCUUCGGGUUGUAAACUGCUUUUGUACGGAACGAAACGGCCUUUUCUAAUAAAGAGGGCUAAUGACGGUACCGUAAGAAUAAGCACCGGCUAACUACGUGCCAGCAGCCGCGGUAAUACGUAGGGUGCAAGCGUUAAUCGGAAUUACUGGGCGUAAAGCGUGCGCAGGCGGUUAUGUAAGACAGUUGUGAAAUCCCCGGGCUCAACCUGGGAACUGCAUCUGUGACUGCAUAGCUAGAGUACGGUAGAGGGGGAUGGAAUUCCGCGUGUAGCAGUGAAAUGCGUAGAUAUGCGGAGGAACACCGAUGGCGAAGGCAAUCCCCUGGACCUGUACUGACGCUCAUGCACGAAAGCGUGGGGAGCAAACAGGAUUAGAUACCCGAGUAGUCCCAUGAU
RNAcentral lists this ribosomal RNA (479 nucleotides) under uncultured organism. Its description in RNAcentral is "partial 16S ribosomal RNA". It matches the Rfam family "Bacterial small subunit ribosomal RNA", at positions 331 to 801 of the family's 1533-position model. The record is from RNAcentral.